Molecule: RNA transcript, 7382 nt
Organism: Poecile atricapillus (Black-capped chickadee)
Lineage: Eukaryota; Metazoa; Chordata; Aves; Passeriformes; Paridae
Gene: SMARCA1
Gene name: SWI/SNF related, matrix associated, actin dependent regulator of chromatin, subfamily a, member 1
Exons: 24
Source: RefSeq, a predicted model, not a curated record
CGAGGACUGGGCGGAGGGGCGGGACCGCGCGGCGUGAGGGGGCCGCCCCCGCUCCCCCGUGCCUCCGGCACCCACCGAGCUCAACAUGGACCCGGGCUCCGGCCCUGGCGAGGAGCCUCGAGCCUCCACAUCCUCCGCCACGGCCGCCGCGCAGGAUCCCGGCGCUGAGGAGAAAAAUGAUCCCCCGUUUCACCUUAAACUUCCUCCAAAGGCAGCUAGACCUGAAAAAGAAGUUGACCCAGAAUAUGAAGAGAAGAUGAAAGCAGAUCGAGCAAAAAGGUUUGAAUUCCUCCUGAAGCAGACAGAGCUUUUUGCACAUUUUAUUCAACCUGCAGCACAAAAAUCGCCAACAUCUCCACUGAAAGUCAAGCUUGGACGGCCACGGAUGAAGAAAGAUGAAAAACAGAGUUUGAUUUCAGCUGGGGAGUACCGCCACAGGCGCACGGAGCAGGAGGAGGAUGAAGAGCUCUUGUCUGAGAGUCGGAAAACGUCCAAUGUGUGUAUUCGGUUUGAGGAGUCUCCUUCAUAUGUGAAAGGAGGAACACUAAGAGAUUAUCAGGUUAGAGGUUUGAACUGGAUGAUCUCACUGUAUGAAAAUGGAGUUAAUGGUAUUCUGGCAGAUGAAAUGGGGCUUGGUAAGACUCUGCAAACAAUAGCUUUAUUAGGCUAUCUGAAGCAUUACCGAAACAUUCCUGGGCCACAUAUGGUCCUGGUUCCAAAAUCAACUUUGCAUAACUGGAUGAAUGAAUUCAAGCGCUGGGUUCCGUCCUUACGUGCUGUUUGCCUUAUUGGAGAUAAAGAUGCCAGAGCUGCAUUUAUCCGUGAUGUUAUGAUGCCUGGUGAAUGGGAUGUUUGUGUAACAUCAUAUGAAAUGAUAAUUAAAGAGAAAUCAGUUUUCAAGAAAUUUAACUGGAGGUACCUGGUAAUUGAUGAAGCCCACAGAAUAAAGAAUGAGAAGUCUAAGCUGUCAGAGAUUGUACGUGAAUUCAAGACAACAAAUCGAUUGUUGCUUACAGGAACUCCUUUACAGAAUAACCUCCAUGAGCUGUGGGCAUUACUCAAUUUCCUUUUACCUGAUGUCUUCAAUUCUGCAGAUGAUUUUGACUCAUGGUUUGACACUAAAAAUUGUCUUGGUGAUCAGAAACUUGUAGAGAGACUUCAUGCUGUUUUGAAGCCAUUUCUCUUACGUCGCAUAAAAGGUGAAGUAGAAAAGAGUUUGCCUCCAAAGAAGGAAGUAAAAAUUUAUCUUGGCCUCAGCAAAAUGCAGAGAGAAUGGUAUACCAGGAUCCUGAUGAAAGAUAUUGAUAUCCUGAAUUCAGCUGGCAAAAUGGAUAAGAUGCGUCUGCUGAAUAUUCUGAUGCAGCUGCGGAAGUGCUGUAACCAUCCUUACCUAUUUGAUGGUGCUGAGCCAGGCCCUCCUUACACCACUGACACUCAUCUCAUCACCAACAGUGGUAAAAUGUUAGUCCUGGAUAAACUGCUGGCAAAACUCAGAGAACAGGGUUCCAGAGUUCUGCUGUUCAGUCAGAUGACUCGGUUGCUGGAUAUUUUGGAAGACUAUUGCAUGUGGCGUGGUUAUGAGUACUGCAGACUUGAUGGGCAGACACCACAUGAGGAAAGAGAGGAAGCAAUUGACACAUUUAACGCUCCCAACAGUAGUAAAUUCAUUUUCAUGCUGAGUACCAGAGCUGGAGGUCUUGGAAUUAAUUUGGCAACUGCUGAUGUUGUUAUUCUUUAUGAUUCAGAUUGGAACCCUCAAGUAGAUCUGCAAGCCAUGGAUCGUGCGCAUCGUAUUGGUCAAAAGAAACCAGUACGGGUGUUCCGACUUAUCACUGAUAAUACUGUUGAAGAGAGGAUUGUAGAAAGAGCUGAAAUAAAACUGAGACUGGACUCUAUAGUUAUACAACAAGGAAGGCUCAUAGACCAACAGUCCAACAAACUGGCAAAAGAUGAAAUGCUGCAGAUGAUCCGGCACGGAGCCACACAUGUUUUUGCUUCCAAAGAUAGUGAGCUGACAGAAGAAGAUAUAACCACUAUUUUAGAAAGAGGUGAAAAGAAGACAGCUGAAAUGAAUGAACGAUUGCAGAAAAUGGGAGAGAGCUCCCUACGAAAUUUCACUAUGGACACAGAGAUGAGCUUAUACAACUUUGAAGGUGAAGAUUACAGAGAAAAACAAAAGCUGAGCAUGAUGGAAUGGAUUGAACCUCCAAAAAGAGAACGUAAAGCCAAUUAUGCAGUAGAUGCUUAUUUCAGAGAAGCCCUACGUGUCAGUGAACCAAAAGUCCCUAAGGCUCCACGACCUCCAAAACAACCAAAUAUUCAGGAUUUUCAGUUUUUCCCACCACGGUUAUUUGAACUCCUGGAAAAAGAAAUUCUGUAUUACCGUAAAACUAUAGGAUAUAAGAUCCCCAGGAAUCCUGACCUUCCAAAUGCAGCUCAGAUACAAAAGGAGGAGCAAAAGAAGAUAGAUGAGUCUAUGCCUCUGAAUACUGAAGAAAGUGAAGAGAAAGAAAAGCUUCUAACACAGGGUUUUACAAACUGGAAUAAAAGAGAUUUUAACCAGUUUAUUAAAGCUAAUGAGAAAUAUGGUCGUGAUGAUAUAGAUAAUAUUGCCCGCGAGGUGGAAGGAAAGUCACCAGAGGAAGUCAUUGAGUACUCAGCUGUUUUCUGGGAACGUUGUAAUGAACUCCAGGACAUUGAGAGGAUUAUGGCUCAAAUUGAACGAGGAGAGGCAAGAAUUCAGCGGAGGAUCAGUAUCAAGAAAGCCCUUGAUGCCAAAAUUGCAAGGUACAAAGCACCUUUCCAUCAGCUGCGUAUUCAGUAUGGAACAAACAAAGGCAAAAACUACACAGAAGAGGAAGACAGAUUUUUGAUCUGUAUGUUACACAAGAUGGGCUUUGACAAGGAAAAUGUGUACGAAGAGCUGAGGCAGUGUGUGCGCAAUGCUCCUCAGUUCAGGUUCGACUGGUUUAUCAAAUCCAGAACUGCAAUGGAGUUUCAGAGACGCUGCAAUACUCUCAUAUCAUUAAUUGAAAAAGAAAAUAUGGAAAUUGAGGAAAAAGAGAGAGCUGAAAAGAAGAAAAGAGGAGCAAAAGUUACAGCAGUAUGUUUAGCAGCACUUACUUUACUUCCAGUGGGGUAGAAUUCAAUUAUAUAUUUUUUUAGAUUUAACUGAAAUAUUUGUCUAUUCACAGCUCUCCUAGAUUUGCUUAGUCACAGAAGAGAAAAGCAGAUUUGGCUGCUGAAAACUCUGGAAAAAAGGAUGCUAAGAAAGUGAAGUCAUGAACCUGAAAACUGAAUGCUAAAUAUUAAACUGCCACGUUCUUCACUCCAUCUAUGUAUAUUAAUUGCCAACUUCUUUGUAUUCAUGGUACUCUUCCCCAAGUCCCAUGCUUUAAUUUUGCAAAUUUUGUAUCCUUUACAAUGUCUUUCUUAACCUAAAAUAUGUAGCUUUAUAUCUUAUGCAUUCCAUUAUUUUUGUGUACUGUAUUUUGUGAGUUUCAUGUCUUUGGCAAAAUUCACUCAGUUCUUGGUUUUCUGAGGCUUGUGCUGAGGUUUUAGCUUUUAUAUGUUUUAUAUGCUGCUGCUUUGAAAGAAAACCUAGAUUCUAUAGCUGUAUUGUUGUUGUUUCAUAUUUUAAAUUUAUAUCGUUGUUGGAAAAUAAACGAACUUAAUUAUUUGAAGAGAAAUAUACUUCACCUUUGUUUUCCCUACCCUCUCUCCCUUUUUUGCAUAGCUACAUUUAGAGAGAAUGUUAAAGUCUGUAUAAUUGUGCCUUCAUCAUCAAUCAGAUUUUUUUCAGAGGAGUACCUAGACAGGACCAGGAGCAUGACAGAGCAAAACCUAGACUGACAACCUUGUUUGCUCUCUGCAUUAAAUGGACGUUUUCUCUGAAAUUUUCAGAAGGAAACCCAGCAAAUACACACUUCUUGUUUUUCUUAAUCAAUGAUUUCUGCUGGUCUACAUGCUUAAACACAGGGUGAGGUUUUUCUCAGAAUGGCCUCCAGAUGAAAACUUUUCUAAGACUCAUAAAAGGAAGUAGUCGGUUCACAGCUUCUGGUUGUUUAAGUAGCAAACAAAAUAAUUCACUUUCUGGUUGGUAGGUUCCUCAGCUCUGCUGCCUUGUGCUGAAAGAUCUUUGUUGCUCUAAUUAUCUCAGCUAAAGUUCUUCUUUUACCUUUAAUUCAACGUGUCAGUCAGAAGCUAUGGGGAUAUGUUAUGGAGUGCUCCUUUUAGUAUUUCUAUUUUAAUGAAGGGAUGAAAGUGUUGGAUGUAUGAUUUUUUGACUGCAAGAAUGGCCUUUAUUAAGCAGGUUCACAGUUCCUGCUCAUUUUGGAGUCUCUGCCUUUCCUGGAUCAGUAGAACAGUGGCUGUGACAUCUGAUGUUUUACUUUAGUGUUCUGUCUCUGAUCUGGUGUUUAGUACAGACCUUGCUAUAGUGAAACAUACUCUCAUAAUGUCAGGUCUAGAUUAAUGCAGUGUGCUUUACAUGGUACUUUCCUUGAAGACUACUUGUCAACUUCUUCUAGUGCAGUUUGCUUCCUUCAGUGGUUUGAGGUGUUUUGAAAUCAAGGAACCUCUUUACUCUUUGUAUUUUGUGCUUUGCAUUGGCUAACUUCUUCUGUGUUUGUAAAAUAUAGGACUUCAUAAAAUAAAGUUCUUGAGCUUUGCCCAUAUUCUUCUAUGUCAUUUUAAAUAUAUUGGUAUGUCUUUGAAGUUUUUGGGAUUAGUAUCUCUUAAGUUUGAUGUGGAAUUUCUCGCUUUUUUGGUAGUGUCUGUUAGAGGUUUGGGGCAAAAUGGGUGUGAUGAUUGGUUGAGCAUUUCAAAAGAUAAUUCAAAAGAUUAGGUUAUGUAUUUUGGAGUGUAACUUUUGGCCAGGGACCACAUUAAUUAUUUCACUGGGCUUAUAUUUUUAGGACUUGAUAUUUGUCUGUUGAGCUUCAUCUGAUGAGUAGAGAGGUGCAUCUGAUAAAUGACAGGGCACAGAUUCCAGGCAGGAGAUUGGUCUUAGGAGUCAGAGCAUGCUUUUAAAUGACUCUGCAACCCAGGUGGGAUUGGUGUGCUCAGGAAAGAAGCAUGUCUCCUCAGAAUGUAGUUCUGGUAUUGGAGCAGUUAACAUCCUGCUUUAUUCUUGGGAGGAGGACAUCCCAUGUAAUUGUGGAAAAAGGCUGCGCAGCUACACGCAUAUAUAACCACAAAUCCCUGGAGCAUUGCUAUUAAUAGAGGAAGAUGCCUUAUUUUCAUUUGUAUUUUGGCUCAUCAGCCACUCACUAAGUUUAUGGCCUGAAAUGAUAAAAACACGUUAAAAGAGAUGAGAAACAAAGGCUGAAAGAGCCAGUUGAAAUGUUUAUGGAAUUACGUGGCUAGGUCUAGAGCUUAUUCUAUUGCUCCUAUUUAGCACUGGAUGAAUAUUUUAAUGUUUUAAGUCUUGAAAUAAGUGUUUUCUGGUUCUGUUUAUUGUAGAUUAGCUUUGUUUGACUUGCAUGGUUUUGUGCAUCCAGUUUUUCUGUGUUGCAAAGUGUAUGGAAAGUCUUAAAAUGGUAAUAUCUCAACAUAUUCUUUUAUGCAGAUUUCUUGUUUUGAGUCACCACUUGAAUUAAUGUUCAUUCAUCUCAAUGGCAUGAUACACAGGCCAUAUAGCUAAAGAUAAUGCAAUUGUUCUUUCAGAUCUUAUCCCUUGAUCAGACAGCUUCUCUGAAGAACGAUAGAUUCUCCCAGAAACUGUUACCUCUCGCAGUCUGUAGUCGCUAGUUAAACUGAAUGUGCUGUUGAACAAGAGUCCUUGAGAGCAUUUGGACACUACAAACCAGUUCCUAGGGGAUUGAGCCUUCUUAUCCAUCAUGUGAUAACUAAAGAAAAUUGCCAACAGCUGCUGGACAGGAUUAAAGAAAAAUGGAUCUUUCUUUUCCUUUUUUCAUUCUUUCAGUUGCAGAUAUCAACACAGUGUGUGUCUAGCAGUAUCUUAAAUUAUAUGUUGCUGUGACUCAAAAUUAGGUGACAGAAAUGAAAGAAUCUUCCUGCUUUUAACUGCUAUUUUCUUAGGCAAGGAAUACUGUUCAUAAGAAAUUAGUAAGCACUGAAUGUUAUGUGAUAGAAAACUUAUGAAAAAUUUGGGCCUUUAGGGAAUUUUAGAGUUGCCAAAAAUGCUGCAAGAUAAAACACUUUGAAAAUUAAUUUAGUUUCUUUUCAGUGGACAAGUAAAAUUUGAUUGUGUAAACAUCAGGCUUGAAGAAAGUCACCUAGCACCUUUGACUCACGAGGCACGUAACGUCCUGGGAGAGGUCACAGCAAUUUUGGUGGUUUCCUUUUCACAUUUUCAUAAUUUCCAACUUACUAGUUCUUUUAUUUUUGAGUUAUGUUAGUGAUAACACCAAAAAAGUAAUGCAGCUAACCACCUUCAUUGUAUGUAAUUUCACUUUGUUACAAUGACACAGAAGAAAUUAACUUUCUUCUUGCUGGUAAUAUUAGACCAUCUUUAGAUGUUGGUUUGCACAAGUUGUGUUACUAUACUAAAAUAUUAAUAAUUUUUUUCUAGUAGAUUAGCUUUGCUUGUUUGAUUUAGUGCUGAUGCUGGUAAGGGGUUAAGAAAAAAGCAGCUAUCACUCUGAGAUGAUGAGCAAGGAGUACAGUAUGCAGAAAUUAAUCAGCAUCUCUAAGUGUCUGAUGGUGAUGCCAAACCGAUUUUUGCUUUUAUAUAUCUUUCAUAUAUAUUUGUAGUUUUGUAGCUAUAUGAAGGAUAUAUAAAAGCAAAAAUUAGCUUGGCAUCAAUGGAAGUAAUGUUGUUGUGCAGUGCCUGCAGUUCCUGCUGUGUGCGACUGUGUUACAGGCAUUCUCUGUACCAUGCCUCCUGCCCACAUUCAGUAGGGGGAUUAAGUACAUUCAGUGAGGAGAAAUUAAUGCUGAAGCGUUACAGGUUGAAAAAAGAGGGAAUUUUGCAGUCAGUAUUAGUUUAUGUGAAUACAGAAUUAUGAGGUUGGUGCACACAUUGGCACUUGUGAUGCUGGAAGGGAUUGGUCACCAACUGUAGUCCUGAUCUGACUGAAGAGAGGUUGACAGUUGUUACAUUUUAAUUAACUUUAUCUGGUCCACACACUUAAUUUCAAGCAUGUAUGUAAAUGUGUUCGUGGCUCCUAGUUCUAAUGUUUGUUAUGUUCUUUUUCUGAAAGACUUGAAGUUGAACUUGGUUUGCAUAUUUUGAAAUGUAAUGUACUCUUGAAUUGCAUUUGCAUGGUAUCCAUCCUUUCAUGAGAGCCUUAAUAGGAGUAAUAUUUGCUGCCUCAAAGGUAUGUCGGUGUCGUGUUGUUCAAGAUAACUUCUGAAAUUUUUCAAUCUAGGAUUUGUUUCUUAAGUUGUACAUAUAUGAAAAUAAAAGUUAAUAUGAA